Molecule: long non-coding RNA, 273 nt
Filed under: Solanum tuberosum (potato)
Lineage: Eukaryota; Viridiplantae; Streptophyta; Magnoliopsida; Solanales; Solanaceae
Description: long non-coding RNA (STUB_LNC007903)
Source: RNAcentral
GAUAGAGGUGUCUCGGAUCAUCAACAAAUGCUUUGUUGAGAUCACACAUUUCUUCAGCUUUUGGUGAGACAUCCUUGCUUUUGGAGGACUCCAGUCUUAUUAUUUUAGAAAUACUUUGAAGGUAGUCGUGGGUCUUAUCCCGAAACCUAUUCUCAGUUAGUAGAGGCUUCAAAGAUAGACAAAUUUAGAGAGAUUCAGUUCAAUAUUUCUUCUCAAAUGUUUUGAACAGUUUCAUUACUUAUAUUUAGUAUUUUCAGAUAGUGCAUUAUGUCC